This 699-nucleotide ribosomal RNA is filed under the name uncultured bacterium. Its description in RNAcentral is "bacterial SSU rRNA". It matches the Rfam family "Bacterial small subunit ribosomal RNA", at positions 136 to 822 of the family's 1533-position model. The record is from RNAcentral.
UGCCCAUAUAACACUUGGAAACAGGUGCUAAUACCGUAUAACACUAUUUUCCGCAUGGAAGAAAGUUGAAAGGCGCUUUUGCGUCACUGAUGGAUGGACCCGCGGUGCAUUAGCUAGUUGGUGAGGUAACGGCUCACCAAGGCCACGAUGCAUAGCCGACCUGAGAGGGUGAUCGGCCACACUGGGACUGAGACACGGCCCAGACUCCUACGGGAGGCAGCAGUAGGGAAUCUUCGGCAAUGGACGAAAGUCUGACCGAGCAACGCCGCGUGAGUGAAGAAGGUUUUCGGAUCGUAAAACUCUGUUGUUAGAGAAGAACAAGGAUGAGAGUAAAAUGUUCAUCCCUUGACGGUAUCUAACCAGAAAGCCACGGCUAACUACGUGCCAGCAGCCGCGGUAAUACGUAGGUGGCAAGCGUUGUCCGGAUUUAUUGGGCGUAAAGCGAGCGCAGGCGGUUUCUUAAGUCUGAUGUGAAAGCCCCCGGCUCAACCGGGGAGGGUCAUUGGAAACUGGGAGACUUGAGUGCAGAAGAGGAGAGUGGAAUUCCAUGUGUAGCGGUGAAAUGCGUAGAUAUAUGGAGGUACACCAGUGGCGAAGGCGGCUCUCUGGUCUGUAACUGACGCUGAGGCUCGAAAGCGUGGGGAGCGAACAGGAUUAGAUACCCUGGUAGUCCACGCCGUAAACGAUGAGUGCUAAGUG